UACAGAGGUCUCAAGCGUUGUCCGGAAUCAUUGGGCGUAAAGCGCGUGUAGGCGGCUGGCUAAGUCCGCUCUGAAAGCCCGGGGCUCAACCCCGGGAGGCGGGUGGAUACUGGUCAGCUCGAGUCCGGAAGAGGAGUGUGGAAUUCCUGGUGUAGCGGUGAAAUGCGCAGAUAUCAGGAGGAACACCAAUGGCGAAGGCAGCACUCUGGGACGGUACUGACGCUGAGACGCGAAAGCGUGGGGAGCAAACAGG
RNAcentral lists this ribosomal RNA (253 nucleotides) under uncultured bacterium. RNAcentral's name for it is "partial 16S ribosomal RNA". It matches the Rfam family "Bacterial small subunit ribosomal RNA", at positions 524 to 776 of the family's 1533-position model. The record is from RNAcentral.